RNAcentral lists this unclassified non-coding RNA (148 nucleotides) under uncultured fungus. RNAcentral describes it as "sequence contains ITS1". Lineage: Eukaryota; Fungi. The record is from RNAcentral.
UUGUAUACCUGGGUUGGCGUAAGCCUUCCCAAUCUAUGUGUGAACACUGUACUUCUUCCCGGGAGGACGAAGGCUGGCUUCGGCUGGCUGGAGGCCUGCCUGGGGUAUUUUAUGAAUGAAAGCAGGGACUACUCAAAAGCAACAUAUA